UUAUGGACGAGUUAACGGGGCAUUUGCAGGAAGAGAUCCCGUGCCGUAUGUUGUUUGUAGAUGACAUAAAGGAUUAAAAAUUAGUCAGACUAAAACAAAGCAUAUAGAGUGCAAUUUUAGUAACAAUAGGAUUAGGAAUGCGGAAUUAGUAAAGAUUGCAAGCCAAGAAGCUCCUAAAGAUGACCACUUUUGCGAUCUUGGAUCAAUAAUUCAUGAAAGUGGAGAGAUUGAGAAGGUCGUUACCAUAAUGUCCUUAGGAUGAGUGUGACUAAAAUGAGGAUGUUGAGAUGGAUGAGUGGCAAGACAAGGAUAAAAUUAGAAAUAAAUGCAUUUCAAGGGAAUUUAGGAGUAGCACCAAUAGGUAAUAAGAUGAGGGAAACUUGACUUACAUGGUUUGGUCAUCUGCAAUGGAGACCAAGAACUGCGCCUGUUAAGAGUGAAUUCAUACAAGUUGCAGGCUCGAAAAGGGCAAGGGGAAGACCCAAAAGGAUGUGGUUGGAGGUAGUAAGAAAAGACUUGAUAACCUAUGGCCUAGCUGAAGUUAUGGCCGUUGAUAGAGUAGAAUGGUGGAAAAGGAUUCGUGUAGCUGGCCCCACUUAGUUGGGAUAAGGCUUAGAUGAUGAUGAUGACAGUCAAGGUAUCUUGUGCUUACCCACAAAAAAGAAAUUUGAUUUGGAUCAUUGAACCACAGGUCCCAAUUGUACAAAGUUAUAAUCUAAAUCCGAGAUGGUAUUAUGCAUACAUCUGGCCUAGCAUUGUUUAAUUCAUUUUUUCCCUUCCUACUAAAAGCCAUCAGUGGAAGGGUUAGGAUCUUCAAUGUUAGAUAUUUUCAAAAUAUCAGAAGGAUUUGGGAUUAUUUGUCACAACAAGUUGUCUAGAUGAAUCCAAAUCAUCAAUCCACAAUCUGCCGAUGUAAAUAAAUAGGAUGGAAAAUAGUGUUUUCACCCGUCUCUAUCUAUCAUUUAUAUGGGCUAGGCAAGGGGAGAAAAAAAGCAGAGGAGGAAGAGGGUAAAGCAUUCUCUCUCUUCCCAUAGAUACUAUCACUAACAUUCUCACCAGAUUAUGUUAGAUCCCUAAUCAAAUUACUGUCCGUAUGCGAGUACAUGCAUCAUUUUAUAUGACAUACAUGCUUCAUUAAAGCCAUCCAGCAUCUCAGCACCAAUCCGAGUCUUUAUCAUCUAAGUUUCAGAUCCUAACAAGAUCUUCAACGAAGACCCAUCAUUCUUUUUCUAUAACAUAGAUAGCAAGCCCCUUGAACCACUCCUUUGAGCACGUCAAGGUCAUUUCAUGCAUGAACAGUCUAAUUUUCUUGGAAGAAGCUCCCAGCUUGUACUAAACCUUCAAUCAUGUGAUCCAGCAAUUGAAGGCUCUCCAACCUCCAACAUUGCUUUGUUUGAAACAUUGUUUUGUUUGAAAACGGCUAUCAGGGAUCACUUAUCACCCUCUCACCAGAGAAUACAAGGUACUGUGUGUUCAUUUGCUAGGAAAAUCAGCAGUACCAUAUCAUGUGUGAAAUUUUCACCCUUGGCAGCAAUUCCUGGAGGAAAGGUUGAGAUCCCCCCUCAUAGAGAAUAGAGAUACUUGCACUCAUACGUACACGUGUCCCUGUGAAUGGAGCUUUCAAUUGGAUGAUCACUUGCAGGAUGUAUCAUGGGAUAGGCCUGAGGCAGUAUGAAGUGAAUCGCCUCUACUAUGACGGAUUCAUACUCUCCAUGGAUGUGAAGGAAGAGAACUUAGAGAAGUUCUGAAAAUGCCCCACUAAGAAUGCAAUUUCUACUCUGAAUUUUGUUGAAGGAUUGGCUGCCUUUACUUUGCCAACCAUGCAUCUCAUCAAGGGAUUUGCCAAGCUGGUAUCAGUUAAAGAACAUCCUAUAUGUUUACAAUCGAUCAUUGAUUGUGCCAAGGGUAAGUGGCACACGGUCUAAGGGAGGUGUACCGGCGGGGGCGUUUGGCCAAGCCAAAUCUGAUAUAUGAUGCAAGGAGGAAGCUUCUUGAGCUAGUUGUUUUGGGAUGACAAGGAGUUUCUAUGAGUAGUUUAGAUUCAAGGAGAGUUGUAGCUGGAGAGGCAGAGGAUUAGUUGCAGGAAGAGGAUGGAGCUUGUAAUCAUGUAUUGUAGAGAGUUGGAAGUGGAAAUAUUGUUUACCAUGGGAUUCACAUUGGUUGUUAAUGUGAUUUUUUCAGGUGAAUUAGAGGAGAGGAAAAUUGGUGGGAGAUUAGAGGUUGGAGUUUUGGAAGAGGCUGGGCCAAUGGGGAUUGAAAAUUCGAAUUUGGGGAGAAUGAAAUGGAAUUUUGCAUUGAUAUCGAAUUGAAAAUAUGUAAAGCAUGAGCAAUUAUAUUUGAGUGGAUUAGAGUUGAGGAGAGUUCAAAAUUGUAUGUGGGAAGAGAGUGGGGGUUUGAGAAUUUGAAUUUGGAGAGUCUCAAAAUAGAAUUUUUGUGUGGAUAUUUAGUUGAGAAGUUGUAAUGGGCAUGAGUAAUUGUACUGGGUUUGUCAGACAAUUGAUGUUGAAAAUUCAAAUUGCUUGAUUUUUUGAGUGAAUUAGAGUUCAGAAGAGUUGAAUGGAAGAGCAGAGGUUGGAUUGUGGGAAGUGGAUGGGGAUUGGAAAACAGAAGUUGGGGAAGAUUGAAGACGGAAUUUUGCAUUGAUAUUCUGUCGACAAUCUGUAAUUACUGAGCAAUCGUACUGAAUUUGUCAGACGAUAUUGAGCAUGAAUUAUCUUGGGUUUCCUUUCCAUCAUUGGGAUUUUUUUGCAAGCAAUUCAAUUCUAGGAGAACCGGUGGGAUGGAAGGUUGAUGGCAAGGAGAACUCAGGCAAUUGAAAAUUGAAAUUUCAGACCGAAGAGCAGAGGCGGAAUUUUGGAAUGAGAUGUUGAUUAUUACUAAUGGCAAAAGCUAUUUUGCUGGUUGAGUGUGUAACCAAUGCAGAGUAUGAUAGGUCAUGGGCAAUUUAACAGGCUGACAUUGUUCUUUAUGAGUUAUUCAAAGUUGAGUUAAAGGGUAGGGAGCAGACGGAUUUGGAGUGACUGCUGGAAUUAGUAGAAAUUUGGAAUGUGGAGGGUUUGGCAUGGAUGCCGGGUUUGAGCUUUGGUUGGAAAGAGAAUGCAGUGUUUUCACAAGUGGAUAUGGCGCCUAGAAUGUCACAACUAAAGGCCUCACCCAAUGAGGAGAAUGUAGAAACUCACUUCUGGAAUCCUUUCAUCUGGAGUUGUCAGAUCGUAUGGUAUUGGUGGCAUCCUGAGCAACGAGGAACACAAGCUUAGGACGUUGUUCUCUGGCCAGCUAAGGUUGUCCAGGCAUGCCUCUUGGGGCAGGUUUAUGAUCAUGUUCUCAUGACUUGAUCAAUAGGUCCAUGAUGAGGUUAGGGACCAUGACUUGAGGUACAGCAGGUCAUGUGUAUGGUGGACAUGUCCGCAGUGCGAACUUUGUUUAGUCAUGCGACUCUCCAAGGGAGUUCAAAAGGGCAUUUCACCCCAUUUACUUUCAAAUCCUUUCUCAUAGGGAGGAUUAAGAUUUCAUUUACAAGCCCACUUACUUUCAUUUCAUUUCAUUUGCAUGCAUUUACUUCUAUCCAAACACCCUUAAAAUAUCAUUUACCUUCAUUUACUCCCAAUUCCCUCCAUUUAGGAGGGAACCUUUGCUGGUUCUGUAUCGUUCAUUUAUGGUCCACUCAAGUUACGUCGCAGUUUGUGAGACCUUUACAUGAGUUUGUACAGUAGAAUUUGCAUUGAUGGAGAUUGUUCUUGUAAAAUUGUUUCUUUGUGGCUUCUAUGGUGUGUUGAUCCAAAUAAGCUUCAAGUUAGUAUAUUGGCGUAUACAUGUGACAAUGAUUUUGUUUGUACUGUACAAAAUGCAUAGCAAAUUUAUAUUUAGCUGUCAUGGUUAUGUUUAUGAAAUGUUUUCAAUUGUAUGCCAUUGAAAAAAUAUAUAUUUAUUUUUCAAUUACAGUAUCAACAAAUAAAUCAAAGUUAGAAUAUAGAAGAUUUUAGGCUGCAUGGGACCUUUUCUGGCAAUCAAUGCAAACUAUAAUCUAUAUAUAAACUGUAAUGAAAACACCCAUUUCUGAAGGUGGCUGGUUUAUCAUGUUAGGGUCUGGAUGGUUCUUUCCCAGAGGUUCAGGGAUUUGGCAGAGAAUGUGCAAGAAAUUGAAAAGGAGAGCAUGCCUAACUAAUGUUUUUUUUUUUUUUUUUUUCCUUCUAUUAUUAUUAUUUUGGGUGUGACCUUCAGUAGAGAUUGCUUAGCUAAUAGUUACUUGUCAAAUGGAUAUCAUAGGACUUUUUUCUUUCUUUUUUCCUUUCCUUUUUUUUUUUUCCUUUUUUUUUUUUUUCCUUUUUUUGAUGUUUUUGAUCUAUAUAUCAAGAACCCUAAUAUUCAUCCAUGCCCCAAACAUAGAACACACCCUCACACAGGCACCACAAAUGCACUCAAUUGAUCAUCUUAGCAGCUUAUCUUUGCUGUUUCCCAUAUAGGAUUUUUUUAGUUAACAUAAUUUUGAGAAAUACUUUGACACUACGUAGUGUGUGAUGGACGAUAGCCAGGCACAUAGAUAUUACUUUGAAAUUGCUACCCAGCAUGCAAAUAAUUUAUUAUCAUGAA
Long non-coding RNA from Magnolia sinica, 4590 nucleotides. RefSeq lists it as uncharacterized. NCBI's taxonomy places the organism in Eukaryota, Viridiplantae, Streptophyta, Magnoliopsida, Magnoliales, Magnoliaceae. The transcript has 2 exons. The record is from RefSeq and is a predicted model, not a curated record.